Frieseomelitta varia is the source of this 1239-nucleotide long non-coding RNA. RefSeq lists it as uncharacterized. NCBI's taxonomy places the organism in Eukaryota, Metazoa, Arthropoda, Insecta, Hymenoptera, Apidae. The transcript is spliced from 3 exons. The record is from RefSeq and is a predicted model, not a curated record.
CUACUGCUGCCCGACGAUAUCACUCCGGCGAGAGGAGCGAGGAGCGCGAUGCCGGGUGCGGCUGCACGCGAGUGUGGACGGACCGCCGCUGGAGUACGGAACACGCGGAGCGCACUUUUUGCGGGGACGGGUUCGUACAGGUUAAAUGCGGCAUCAGUGGUCAACGUUGGACUUCCGUUUAGAUGGCGUGGGUCCCCGAUUGCAAUUAACCUAUCGUAGUCCAAUUUCAAAUUUGUUUACUUGGUUUUUACAUCCGAACGGAAAACAUGACGAACGGUUCGACGAGAUUCAAUUUUGACGUUCUUUUAAGAUAUUUCACUGAAUGUUCUCGUUACAAUGUCGUAUCUACGCGAGAUUCGAUUGUAAUUUGUUCUGUUUGCGUCUACUUGUCUCUACUUACCUUCGGUAAAUUUCAAAUUCAGGGAAAAGUACGUGUUAGGAUAGAAUUUUUUUUCCACGACGCAUGAUACGUUACUGCGUCUGUGAUUUUAGAAACGACCGUGACGUAUCGGCCGUUCCCGAGCGCUGCUGUCCUCGUUCCCGGCCGAGUAGCUCCCUUUUGAGCCUGUUUUCAGAUCGACGGAUCUGACGCAACAGAUCGCAAGUGAAUUUUAAGGUACAGAAAAAAUAAAAUUACUGCAACCCAGGCUGAGAAACUACUUGCAGCUAGAAUUGUACGAUAACAGUAUCCCCUUCGGGGAAUUCCCCAAAUCGAAGAAUUUCAAAUAAUAAAAAUGAAGGAGACAAGCAAGAAAUUGUCUCAAGAAAUGUCUUUUGAAAGUUUUCAAAAGCAAAAGCUUUCAUUUCGCGAAAUCACGGAAAUUAUAAACAGAGUAUUGAUACUGUCCAAUAUAUUGUUAAACUAUCAAGAAGAAAAUAGAGUAUUAAAUAAAGUUCCAAAUAAAAAACCCAACUCAUGAUGAAAGAUGAAUAGUAAGAAAAAUAAAAGAAAAGACUGGUGUUUCUAAAUUCAUAGUCUGUGGUGGAAAAGAGAAAAGUCUAAAUAUAAAUAUUUAAUAUGCAAAAGAAAGUACGAUGUAAUGUUAGAUACAUUCUUUUUUUUCAUAUUUUUAUAUAGCAAAAUAUGAAUUACAACUUCUUAUAUUGAAAUGACAAGUAGCAAAUAGGGAAAGAAACAAAGGAAAAUAAUAAUUACUACAUGUUGCAAAUAUUUUAUUGUAAAACACAGAUGUGAAAAAAUGUAAACGUAAAAAAAAUAUACACACGCUGUAGCAAAUU